CUGUAUCCCCUAGAACGACUCUCCAUUGUACAACACCCAGCAGCAGGAAGAACUGAAGCAGAGUUUGACAUCCAGGCAGCGUGGACUCCGUCCAGAGACAGAGAAAGGUGAUCUGCUACGAUCAGACAGCCUUCUCAGUUCUCCUGAGUCAUUCCAGAAGACCCAGCAUGUCAUGAGGUCAACGUUUUCAUCUGCGAACUCAAAUGCUUUGUCAACCCAUUCUGCCAGGAUGGAAGAAGAUCAGCAUUGGGAGAGUUCAAAAUCACCCCAAAAGAAAACAAAACUAGCUGAAAUCAAGAAAAAGAAACGUGUUAGGUUUCUCUUACCUCACCAAACUGAGAGAAAAAGAAGACCCUCUUCCCCUCGAGAUGCAGAUCAGGAGAUGUUCACAUGUGAAUGCUGCUACUGUCAGAAGGAUGUGGGGAACAUGUCUGGCGUCUCCAUGGGGACGGGGACCACGACAGAAGCAGCCUCUCAUUCACCCUCCUGUGAAAAUCUGAUACUAGACCUCGGUAACUUGUCACUCAACCCUGAUACCACCCAGCCCACUCUUGUGCAAGAAAUACAAAACAGAGAAAAGAACAAGACGCAUUGGCAGCAGAAAAGCAAAAAGUCGUUUCAAAGGCUUCUCCACGAAUGGACAGAAUAACUCUGGCAUUGUUAUCCUCAUGUGAAGAAGAUCAGAACCUACAGGAUCAUGAAUGUCAACAACACCAAACCCUAGGGUGAAAUCUUUUUGGGAGCACGGUCAGAAGGAGUAAAAGUGUCCAGCCUGGUGACAAUAAUAUCUUCAGAUGGCGAGUUUCAAACCUAUUCCAGAAAUGUAACAGUCGUUUUCUUAGUGGUUUUGGCAUCCCCUCUGGGGCAUUCUGGGAACAGAUGCUCCUUGGCUAGGGCAACCAGAUAGCGAUGGUUCUGUACUCCCCAUGCUGUUGUUCCCAUGGGGCCAUCUACCAAUUUCCCCUCCUCCGGUCUCGGCUUUUCCUCCUUU
This is a long non-coding RNA of Peromyscus eremicus (cactus mouse), 991 nucleotides long. RefSeq lists it as uncharacterized. NCBI's taxonomy places the organism in Eukaryota, Metazoa, Chordata, Mammalia, Rodentia, Cricetidae. The transcript is spliced from 3 exons. The record is from RefSeq and is a predicted model, not a curated record.